UUAUUUUCUUCCAUACUCUAUAGUAUGUGUAUGACCCCAACUUUUAUGAAUAAAGAUGAAUUUUCUAAAAAUAUCAUUUUUGAAUAUUAUGGAGUGAAUUUGAUAUAAUGUUAUAGUUGUGGGUAAUAUUUAUAAAUUUUGCAAAAUACGCAAGUUGUUAUAUAAUAUUCGAUUGGUUGGGAAAUAUUCGUUUUAACAUAGAAUAUUCUUACGACGGCACAAUCAUUGGUGGAUCCCACAACGAAAUUAUUGUUAGAUUGAGAAAACGACAAAAAUAUCUUUUAAUAAAAAUAACGGCGAAAGUUUUACCGUUAACUAUUGAAACACUCGGUGUUAAAAGUACAGUAAUACGCGUGGUUGCAUAGUAGCACACUGUAUUGAUUAUUGAUGCUUACGUGAGAAGUCACUCAAUUUUGUUCAAUUAUUGCUACAGUAAUUGUUGCAUAAUAUCUCACGUUAUUUGAUUCAAUUAUUGUCGAUAUUUUAUAUAUUAUUAAAUCAAUA
Molecule: long non-coding RNA, 504 nt
Filed under: Panax ginseng (ginseng)
Lineage: Eukaryota; Viridiplantae; Streptophyta; Magnoliopsida; Apiales; Araliaceae
Description: long non-coding RNA (PGIN_LNC012208)
Source: RNAcentral